ACUCAAAUGAAUAGACGGGGGCCCGCACAAGCGGUGGAUCAUGUGGUUUAAUUCGAAGCAACGCGAAAAACCUUACCUGGGUUUGACAUCCUCUGACAUCCGUAGAGAUACGGCUUCUGUAGCAAUACAGCAGAGUGACAGGUGCUGCAUGGCUGUCGUCAGCUCGUGUGGUGACAUGUUGGGUUAAGUCCCGCAACGAGCGCAACCCUUGUCUUUAGUUGCCAGCAUUCAGUUGGGCACUCUAAAGAGACUGCCGUGGUUAACACGGAGGAAGGUGGGGAUGACGUCAAGUCCUCAUGGCCUUUAUAUCCAGGGCGACACACGUGAUACAAUGGACGGUACAGAGGGAAGCGAAGGGGUGACCUGGAGCCAAUCUCAAAAAGCCGUUCUCAGUUCGGAUUGGAGUCUGCAACUCGACUCCAUGAAGUUGGAAUCGCUAGUAAUCGCGGAUCAGCACGCCGCGGUGAAUACGUUCCCGGGCCUUGUACACACCGCCCGU
RNAcentral lists this ribosomal RNA (499 nucleotides) under uncultured bacterium. RNAcentral's name for it is "partial 16S ribosomal RNA". It matches the Rfam family "Bacterial small subunit ribosomal RNA", at positions 899 to 1397 of the family's 1533-position model. The record is from RNAcentral.